Long non-coding RNA from Mauremys reevesii (Reeves's turtle), 545 nucleotides. RefSeq lists it as uncharacterized. The transcript is spliced from 3 exons. The record is from RefSeq and is a predicted model, not a curated record. NCBI's taxonomy places the organism in Eukaryota, Metazoa, Chordata, Testudines, Geoemydidae.
CUUAGCAAUUCUAAAGAGUGGAUUUGUUCCUAGCAAAAGAGAGGGUGAUGGGGGGGGAGGGGUAGGAGAGAGGUGCAAGCACAUCAGACAAGUUAAGUCAUUGGAAGUGAAGAGAACAUUAACAAGACAAAUGGUAUAAGAAUAGGAACCCCUUAUGGUUGCCAGGAUUUCUUUUGCUAUGUACUAUUCAAGGAAGAUAUUUCUCUGACCCAUCGGAAAAGCGAUGUCAUUUUUGGAUGGAUCUGAUAUUCCACCUGAGUCAACCUGUACAGGGCAUACAGAACUCUUCUCUGCAGAGGAGACAAAUUGCGACAAAACCACAGAAAUGGGGCUGAAUUAAUCAUACCAAUGGCAUAAGCAGCUAUAUGGUAAUAUCACCCCCACCACUACCACCACCAAGUAGCUGCCUCUCUCCCCAGCACAGCCACUACUCUCUGACCUCAGCUCCAUGCAACAAAGAGGAUGUGGAGAAUUGUGGAAGAGUCUAAGAACAGCAACGUAUUCCAACAUUCUUCUUGAAUUGUGGACACCAGAAUUGGACACAU